CUGGCUUUCGGCCUUUUGGCUAAGAUCAAGUGUAGUAUCUGUUCUUAUCAGUUUAACAAGAUAUUUGUCAACAUUUAAGGUGCAGAACAUUUUUUUUGGGGGGGGGGUUGUGCAGGAAAAUCCUCAACACCAUGGUGAGGAGUGGCUAAUCUUUGUGUCCCACCCAGCAAGGCAUGAGCCAAUCCACGCCAGCUCUU
Molecule: small nuclear RNA, 197 nt
Organism: Ochotona princeps (American pika)
Lineage: Eukaryota; Metazoa; Chordata; Mammalia; Lagomorpha; Ochotonidae
Product: U2 spliceosomal RNA
Exons: 1
Source: RefSeq, a predicted model, not a curated record